This 2909-nucleotide ribosomal RNA is filed under the name Pseudoalteromonas sp. A22. Its description in RNAcentral is "23S ribosomal RNA". It matches the Rfam family "Bacterial large subunit ribosomal RNA". Lineage: Bacteria; Pseudomonadati; Pseudomonadota; Gammaproteobacteria; Alteromonadales; Pseudoalteromonadaceae. The record is from RNAcentral.
GUUGUAUGGUUAAGUGACUAAGCGUACACGGUGGAUGCCUUGGCAGUUGGAGGCGAUGAAGGACGUACUAACUUGCGAUAAGCCUAGUCAAGCCAGUAAGAGGCGCUUGAGACUAGGAUUUCCGAAUGGGGAAACCCACCUGCUUGCAGGUAUCGUUAACUGAAUACAUAGGUUAACGAGGCGAACGCGGAGAACUGAAACAUCUAAGUACCCGUAGGAAAAGAAAUCAACCGAGAUUCCGAAAGUAGCGGCGAGCGAAAUCGGACCAGCCCUUAAGCUUUAGUGUAGUUAGUGGAACAUGUUGGAAAGCAUGACGAAACAGGGUGAUAGUCCCGUACACAAAAACUUAUCUAAAGUGAAAUCGAGUAGGUCGGAGCACGUGAAACUUUGACUGAAUAUGGGGGGACCAUCCUCCAAGGCUAAAUACUCCCAACUGACCGAUAGUGAACCAGUACCGUGAGGGAAAGGCGAAAAGAACCCCUGUGAGGGGAGUGAAAUAGAACCUGAAACCGUGUACGUACAAGCAGUAGGAGCCUACUUGUUGGGUGACUGCGUACCUUUUGUAUAAUGGGUCAGCGACUUAUAUUCUGUAGCGAGGUUAACCAUUUAGGGGAGCCGUAGCGAAAGCGAGUCUUAACUGGGCGCUUAAGUUGCAGGGUAUAGACCCGAAACCCGGUGAUCUAGCCAUGGGCAGGUUGAAGGUUGAGUAACAUCAACUGGAGGACCGAACCCACUAACGUUGAAAAGUUAGGGGAUGACCUGUGGCUAGGAGUGAAAGGCUAAUCAAACCGGGAGAUAGCUGGUUCUCCCCGAAAUCUAUUUAGGUAGAGCCUCGGACGAAUACUUACGGGGGUAGAGCACUGUUAAGGCUAGGGGGUCAUCCCGACUUACCAACCCUUUGCAAACUCCGAAUACCGUAAAGUAAUAUCCGGGAGACACACGGCGGGUGCUAACGUCCGUCGUGGAGAGGGAAACAACCCAGACCGUCAGCUAAGGUCCCAAAGUGUAUGUUAAGUGGGAAACGAUGUGGGAAGGCUAAAACAGCUAGGAGGUUGGCUUAGAAGCAGCCACCCUUUAAAGAAAGCGUAAUAGCUCACUAGUCGAGUCGGCCUGCGCGGAAGAUGUAACGGGGCUAAACAUACCACCGAAGCUACGGCUGCAGACUUUGUCUGCGGGGUAGGGGAGCGUUCUGUAAGUGGCUGAAGGUGUGCCGGGAGGCAUGCUGGACAUAUCAGAAGUGCGAAUGCUGACAUGAGUAACGACAAGAGGAGUGAAAAACUCCUCCGCCGGAAGACCAAGGGUUCCUAUCCCAUGUUAAUCAGGGUAGGGUGAGUCGACCCCUAAGGCGAGGCUGAAGAGCGUAGUCGAUGGGAAACGGGUUAAUAUUCCCGUACUCGGUAUGAAUGCGAUGGGGGGACGGAGCAGGCUAGGCAAGCAUGGCGUUGGUUGUCCAUGUGAAAGGCUGUAGGCUGGUGACUUAGGAAAAUCCGGGUUGCCAAGGCUGAGAGUCGAGACGAGCCACCAAGGUGGUGAAGUUGUUGAUGCCCUACUUCCAGGAAAAGCCUCUAAGCUUCAGUUCAUACUGAAUCGUACCCUAAACCGACACAGGUGGUCAGGUAGAGAAUACUAAGGCGCUUGAGAGAACUCGGGUGAAGGAACUAGGCAAAAUUGUACCGUAACUUCGGGAGAAGGUACGCUCUUGUUUGUGAAAGACUUGCUCUGUAAGCAAACGAGAGCCGCAGUGACCAGGUGGCUGGGACUGUUUAUUAAAAACACAGCACUGUGCAAAAUCGUAAGAUGACGUAUACGGUGUGACACCUGCCCGGUGCCGGAAGGUUAAUUGAUGGGGUUAGCUUAGGCGAAGCUCUUGAUCGAAGCCCCGGUAAACGGCGGCCGUAACUAUAACGGUCCUAAGGUAGCGAAAUUCCUUGUCGGGUAAGUUCCGACCUGCACGAAUGGUGUAACCAUGGCCACGCUGUCUCCACCCGAGACUCAGUGAAAUUGAAAUCGCAGUGAAGAUGCUGUGUACCCGCGGCUAGACGGAAAGACCCCGUGAACCUUUACUACAGCUUGGCACUGAACAUUGACCCUACAUGUGUAGGAUAGGUGGGAGGCUUUGAAGCAGAGACGCUAGUUUCUGUGGAGCCGACCUUGAAAUACCACCCUUGUAGUGUUGAUGUUCUAACUUAGGCCCCUGAAUCGGGGUUGAGGACAGUGCCUGGUGGGUAGUUUGACUGGGGCGGUCUCCUCCCAAAGAGUAACGGAGGAGCACGAAGGUUUGCUAAGUACGGUCGGACAUCGUACGGUUAGUGUAAUGGUAGAAGCAAGCUUAACUGCGAGACAGACACGUCGAGCAGGUACGAAAGUAGGUCAUAGUGAUCCGGUGGUUCUGAAUGGAAGGGCCAUCGCUCAACGGAUAAAAGGUACUCCGGGGAUAACAGGCUGAUACCGCCCAAGAGUUCAUAUCGACGGCGGUGUUUGGCACCUCGAUGUCGGCUCAUCACAUCCUGGGGCUGAAGUCGGUCCCAAGGGUAUGGCUGUUCGCCAUUUAAAGUGGUACGCGAGCUGGGUUUAGAACGUCGUGAGACAGUUCGGUCCCUAUCUGCCGUGGGCGUUUGAGAAUUGAGAGGGGCUGCUCCUAGUACGAGAGGACCGGAGUGGACGAACCGCUGGUGUUCGGGUUGUGAUGCCAAUUGCAUUGCCCGGUAGCUACGUUCGGAACUGAUAACCGCUGAAAGCAUCUAAGCGGGAAGCAGGCCUCGAGAUGAGUUCUCACUUUGACUUAGAGUCAACUGAAGGGCCGUUGAAGACUACAACGUUGAUAGGCGAGAUGUGGAAGUGCUGUGAGGCAUUAAGCUAACUCGUACUAAUUACCCGUGAGGCUUAACCAUACAACGCCAAAGUGGUUU